RNAcentral lists this ribosomal RNA (558 nucleotides) under Colletotrichum higginsianum. Its description in RNAcentral is "eukaryotic LSU rRNA". It matches the Rfam family "Eukaryotic large subunit ribosomal RNA", at positions 75 to 658 of the family's 3401-position model. Lineage: Eukaryota; Fungi; Ascomycota; Sordariomycetes; Glomerellales; Glomerellaceae. The record is from RNAcentral.
UUGCCCCAGUAACGGCGAGUGAAGCGGCAACAGCUCAAAUUUGAAAUCUGGCCCCAGGCCCGAGUUGUAAUUUGCAGAGGAUGCUUUUGGCGCGGUGCCUUCCGAGUUCCCUGGAACGGGACGCCAUAGAGGGUGAGAGCCCCGUACGGUUGGACACCAAGCCUUUGUAAAGCUCCUUCGACGAGUCGAGUAGUUUGGGAAUGCUGCUCAAAAUGGGAGGUAUAUUUCUUCUAAAGCUAAAUAUAGGCCAGAGACCGAUAGCGCACAAGUAGAGUGAUCGAAAGAUGAAAAGCACUUUGAAAAGAGGGUUAAACAGCACGUGAAAUUGUUAAAAGGGAAGCGCUUGUGACCAGACUUGCGUCCGGUGAAUCACCCAGCUCUCGCGGCUGGGGCACUUCGCCGGCACAGGCCAGCAUCAGCUUGCCGUCGGGGACAAAAGCUUCAGGAACGUAGCUCUCUUCGGGGAGUGUUAUAGCCUGUUGCAUAAUACCCUUCGGCGGGCUGAGGUACGCGCUCCGCAAGGAUGCUGGCGUAAUGGUCAUCAGCGACCGUCUGAAG